Long non-coding RNA from Prionailurus viverrinus (fishing cat), 175 nucleotides. RefSeq lists it as uncharacterized. The transcript is spliced from 2 exons. The record is from RefSeq and is a predicted model, not a curated record. Lineage: Eukaryota; Metazoa; Chordata; Mammalia; Carnivora; Felidae.
UCUGGGCCUAAGAAGGGGGUGUGUCACCAUGGCCUGGAUCCCCAUCCUCCUCCUGCUCCUCUGUCACUGCGUAGGUUCCCUGUCCCAGCCUGUCGUGACUCAGCCAGCCUCCUUCUCUGCAUCUCUGGGAGCCACAGCCAGACUCACCUGCACCCUGAGCAGGGACAUCAAUGUU